UUUGUUUUGAUUGAUUAAAAACUA
RNAcentral lists this non-coding RNA (24 nucleotides) under Arabidopsis thaliana (thale cress). The record is from RNAcentral. Lineage: Eukaryota; Viridiplantae; Streptophyta; Magnoliopsida; Brassicales; Brassicaceae.